RNAcentral lists this transfer-messenger RNA (352 nucleotides) under Verrucomicrobiia. RNAcentral describes it as "SIAT01 sp009691645 Standard tmRNA". It matches the Rfam family "transfer-messenger RNA". Rfam says of the family: Bacterial tmRNA, also known as 10Sa RNA or SsrA, is named for its dual tRNA and mRNA-like properties. Its role is to liberate the mRNA from a stalled ribosome. Lineage: Bacteria; Pseudomonadati; Verrucomicrobiota. The record is from RNAcentral. RNAcentral also lists the same sequence under 1 other name.
GGGGGCGUACUGGUUUCGACCUUGAAGACCCGCCAGAGGCGGCACGCCGAGGAUGGUUCGUUGGCCUCGUUAAAAAUCGGACCGAAAAUCAAAAGCUAACGAAGAAUUGGCUCUCGCGGCCUAAGGCCGCGACGUUCACCGCUGGACACCUGCUACGGUGGAUGAACGAAACAGCAGGCAUGGUGGAAGGCGGGGACAGCGCGCCGUUCAUCGAGAUUAUUUCAUGCUGACUAAGCUGCCGGUCUCGAGUUAGAGCGCUAUCCGGCAGCCGACAAAAUAUCUCUGACUAAGCGUGUAGUCGCGGCUGGUUGUGCUGCUUGGGACGCGGGUUCAAUUCCCGCCGCCUCCACCA